Molecule: long non-coding RNA, 3479 nt
Organism: Gallus gallus (chicken)
Lineage: Eukaryota; Metazoa; Chordata; Aves; Galliformes; Phasianidae
Source: Ensembl
UAGGCUUCCAGUUUUUAUUUCCAAGUUUAGAUAAAAUGAUCUGUAUUUUCAUUUUCUUUUAGAAAGAAAGCAGGCUGGAGAAGCAUCCCAGAAUGGCCAGAAGCUCAUUAUAAGCUUUUUCUCUCAGAUUCAGUCCCAUUCCCAACAUUUUCCAGUUUGUUGAAGCCAAUAUAUUUGUUUUCAGCAAAUGAAUGCUUUAUGAUGACAACCCCUCUCGUGGGGAAGAUGCCUGCUGGUACCUCCUGGGGCUCAGAAGGGAAGCCUGGGAACCAUUGUUGGUUUUGAGUCCAAAACAGUGCAUUCCUGUGGUGGUAAAAUUACUUCUGUUUUAUUCUUUAUGGAUAUCAAAAUACUGAGUUCAGAGCUUCAUUUAAAACAAUAGCAUUUUGUGCAAGUAAAUCAUCUUGCUUAUGUGCAGUCUUUCUACUUACAAAGUCCAUAUUGAUUCUCCUGUCCCACUGAACAGCCCUGCUCUGCCUAAAGACCACUCAGGCCUGCUCAGGAUAGAUGCGAUUUAUCAACAUACUUCUCCAGCCAUAGCUGUAGUGUUUACACACAGUUCAAACAUUCAGAUGUGGCCCCUUCUCCUCAGAUGGAUGAUGUGGAAAUUAUUUUCUGUUCUGAACUAAUUCUUCCUGUUGGCACCUACAGCAUUUUUUGUUCAUGUACUUAUUGAUUGAUUAGUCCGGCCUCAACAGUUCUAUGCGACCCUUCAGUCUUGCUGUUAACCUAUGCCUGUGCCCAUUCCAGACCACAUCAUUCAGUACCACCUCUGCCCUUUCCCUGAGCACCUCCAGGAAUGCUGACCCCACCACCUCCCUGGGCAGCCUGUUCCAAUGCAUCACUUGUGUCUGUACUCAGUGCAGCAGGCUCUGAGCUCUGUGAGAUGCUGCUGUACAAACAGCAUGGGUGUGUUGUCUGUGAUGUAGCUACUUGGGAUUGUUGCAGGACCCCACCAUGAGCAAGACAGCUGCAGGCAUUUUCUCUUGUCCUUUUCUCUUGUCCUUGUGAGAGGCAGGGCAGGUUGUCCCUGGUGUUGCAGCGAGGGGCAGGGACCUCCCUACAGCCCUGGGCUCUGCAGGUGAGCAGGGGAUGAACAUGAGGAACGCUGCAGGCAGACCCUUCCCAGCUGCUCCCUUCCCACCAGGCAGGGCUCCUCAUGGACAGCCUGGGCCCACUCAGCCAUGCAGGCAGCUCCCUGGGCCUGUGCUGCAGCUCUGCUCAGCUUUAUUUUUGUUCUUCUUCCAGUAUUUGCAGUACCCAUUUACUCCUGAGGCAUGCGAGUCUGACUAAUCCUUCAGGGGUGUCUCAGGGGAGGACCAUCCUACAGAAAAGCAUGUCUCCCUGCAGUGUGAACUCCCACCGGGUGCAUCUGGCUCUGGGACAAGGCUCAUGCAGUGCUGGGGAAGACCCAAUAUCGUAUAAUUUAGAUGCUUUCCACUCUUCCUUCCAGAAGUUGGCAAACUGCUUACCUGCCUCUAAAGCAUCCCUGUUGUUGUGACUCUGUGUCCAUCUCAGCCUCCUGUCACCAGCCUGAAAGACUGAGCUUUUUGCUGCAUGCUUCAGCAGUAGCGCCUGCAGAGGUGUAACAGAUGCAGUAAGAAUUGCACCUGCUUCCACUGCUAUCAGAAGUCAAACAGCUGAUUGUUACCUCUCCAGGGGCAUUGGUGAGCUUCAGUCGUUGCUCUCCUAUUUCAAAAUCCCACCUUUAAAAAGAAAAAUAAGACACAAAAAAAUGUGGAGCCUGGAAAGAAGCUCAAACUUUCUGUCCCCAUCUUUCUGCUUUUUUUUCUUCCUGUGGAAUAGCAUGGAAAAGUCACCAUCACUGAGAUCUCAGAUAUCUCAGCAGUGUUACAGUGAGGGCCAGAGGAUGAGUUUGAGUGGGCUUUUGUACUUAAAGUUCUAUUGGAUGAAUGUGGAUCUGGAUGUUUAGCAUCCGGGGGGGUGCAUGGCUGCUUAGGUCAGCCCAGACGCUCGUGGGAGUCAUGGGAGUGAACAACCAGCACUUCAUCUGCAGGACCUGCCCCUGCCCUGCAGGACUGUGCUGGAGCCCCACCUCCAGUUCCAUUGCUACUGGAGCCAUUCACCCCAGGGAAAGCCCAGGGCGGGCCCUGGACAGGCACAAUUCAAUGGGAAAGGAAGCAGUACAAACAAGAAGACUGUGUUCUUGGCAGCAGCUGCCUGGAAGAUGGCUGGGACGUGCAGCUAAAUAUCUGGCAGAGAAGAGGGCAUCAAAAACCAACAGGAGAGAAUAAAUGAUGUUCCAGCGGGAUGCUAGAAGUGCCACCCUAGCACAGCCCCGUUCCUGCUUACAGAUGCUUGUGAGCUGCUCCCACCCACGGCACAGGUGAGAGUACGUGCUGUGAGAGGCCAGCCUGCACGCGUGGUGGGAAACUGCACAGCAUGCCACGGCCCAAGCCCUGUUCAGAUAGGGACAACCGCAGCAGGCAGUUGUCCAGGCAGCUUGUGAAACCAGCACCGCAGCAGUUCAGGUCCUUUCCUCCUUUGGAGAGCCUCUCUAUGUUUUUAGGUAGGCUGGAAGGUGUACAAGUUACAGGUGUGCCUGCGAUGUGCUGCAUGGAGAGCAUUCCAGAAAUCCUGCACCAGAGAUUGCGAGCAGAGUGAUUAUCCAUUACUAACUGUAGAGCCUUGAGUUAAGCACGUUCUCCACUUAGGAUCUUCCCAGGGAAAAUAAAGUUUCUGAGACUGAAAAGCAAUGCGUUUAGCAGUCGGAUAGUGAAGGAAGGUGGUAGAUGUCUUUGUGACAGCGUCAGCUAUUUCAGAUAGCUUUAUGUCUGCCUGCUGUCUGCUGGAUGAAACCAUAGACAGUGCGAUAGCAGCUCUGUCUGCAGUUACCACAUUUAGGCUGGAAAAAAAAAUAACCUUUUUGACAUCUAUUGGGUCCGCAGCGUAGAUGGGCCAUUAACCUUGUGCACGCUCCUCAUCCCCUAUAGAUAAUAAUAUUUGACUAAGUCGCAGCAUUGCAGUUAAGCGAUGGCUGUACUUUGCACUGAGCUUCCUGCUCUGGCAUAUCCUCACGAGAAGCGAUUUAGGAUAACAAAGCAGCACGACUUGUUCUUCUGAGUGCACGGGAACAGAACGACAUGGGGGCUGGAACUGGAAGGGAAACGCUCUCCAGGUUUCAAGUUUUCACAUUCCUUGUGAAAAUGGUGGUUUAAAAGACGUGGUAUUCUUCUGCCUAGGCGGCAAAGAGGACCCCUUAAGAACCCAGCUGUGCUCGUACUGUGUGGAAUCCUUCAAACAGCAAAAAAAAGAAAAAGAAAAAGAAAAAAAAGAACACGACAAAGUGAAUGCUGCUUCUGCUUCCACCAUCAAAGGACACUUUCAGACUUCAGGCUACUGCCACUGCUGCUGGUGGAGCCGCAGCAGCACGGAAUGGCUGCAGGCCUGGAAACAGGGAGGGUAGAUUGGAUGCACGUUAUCUUGAGCAAAGGUCCUGCUGCUUUUAAAGAUUAGCA